AGGUUCCUUUGUUUCUAAAGCAUUAACAGGAACUGGGGACUGAAAGUGUCUCCCAGGUGUCUCCUCAGCAUUGAACAAUCUCUGAAGUCACUGCCUCCCAGCACUGCUCAGAUAAGACAUUCUCCAAAUUUUUGUGGAUUCCCCCAAACUCUAAUUAACAAAAGAAUGGAAAAAAGAAAAAGAACCUUCUUAAGAAAUAAGUAAGUAUGAAGCAUGAAGUUCUCUGUAUUUUAGCUUGGAAAACUCAACCCAACAAUAUUUGGAUGAGAAUAUUAAAGCUCCCUCUCUCCUUUACUUAUACUAUACAAUUAAAUGACUAGGCAAAGACCCUUAG
RNAcentral lists this long non-coding RNA (334 nucleotides) under Homo sapiens (human). Its description in RNAcentral is "HSALNT0307867". Lineage: Eukaryota; Metazoa; Chordata; Mammalia; Primates; Hominidae. The record is from RNAcentral.